RNAcentral lists this unclassified non-coding RNA (1308 nucleotides) under Hevea brasiliensis (rubber tree). The record is from RNAcentral. Lineage: Eukaryota; Viridiplantae; Streptophyta; Magnoliopsida; Malpighiales; Euphorbiaceae.
CAUUGAUGUGCAGCGAGAGAUGUUUAAGCACUUAGGCUGGAUUUUGUAUUGUACAAGAAGUGGACCAAAUGUUGUGGAUGCGAUUGAAGAGUUCAUGCAAGUAUAUGUUGACCAAAGUGUCUUUAUGGAUUAUUUCAAGAGGAGGUGGUUACCAUAUAUAGAGUUGUGGGUUAAUGGCAUAAGGUCUCUUCCUGUGGCUGGUGCAGAGCCCCUGGCUGCAAUUGAAUCCUAUCACACGAGGUUGAAAUUAAAGCUUUUUAAUGAGCGACAUUCCAAUUCCUGGAUGAGGAUUGACUGGUUAAUCCACACUUUGACCACUGAAUUUCACUCCUUAUAUUGGUUAGAUCAAUACAGUGAAGAAAGUGGGUAUUUUGCAAAUAUAAGGGACGAGUCUUUCUUAACUAAUUCUUGGCAUCAGGCUUUGCAUAUUUCCGACAUUGAUGUGAUGUUGGAUGAGCAAAAUCUCCAACUUGCAAAAGUCAUCUCUCAAACUGACAGAAGUCGGGCAUAUACAGUUUGGAAUCCUGGUACAGAAUUCUCCCUCUGUGACUGUCCCUGUUCAAGGCUGGGGAAUCUUUGUAAGCAUGUCAUUAAGGUGGCAAUCUUAUGUAAAAGUCGGCAGGUUGCAAGGCCGCUAUUGGCAGUUCAAGUUUAUCGGCAGGCCUUGCUUACCCUUCUGCAGAAUCCUCCUGAUGAUCCUCUAGUUCUCGAGCAUGCAAUUUUGCAUGCAACACGCUUGCAACACGAUAUCAAAGGCUUGGAAGACUUGUCUAACAGUGGUUUGCUCCAGCCUUUACCUCCUGAAGUGAACCCUCAAAUAGGAGAGAAUCUGCUUUUUCCACGUUUUCUUUGAUUGGGCCUUUGAAAGNUUGACUCUACCAAGUCAUUAAUUUGCACCAGCGUGCUUUGAAAAGUUCAGUUCCUGCGUGCAUGAAUUUCAGAUUCUUCAGCAGUGCAGAUACAUUGCAUUGACUUCCGUAUUUCGCUGUAUCCUUAACUGGGGCAUGGAGAGAGAGAGAGACACGCACACACACACACACACACACAAAAAAAAACCUACAGAGGGUACACAGUAGAGGAAGAAAGAAGAAGUUUAUUAUCUCAAUUCUCUAAUUAUGCUGAGGAAAUGUGUAAUAUGCAAGUUACAUGGUCAGGAUCAACGGCUGGUAACGUUAAAGUUGGAUAUUUGCUUGGAACUUUGCAAAUGGUCAUCUUGGGUUGCUGCCUGCUUGUAGAGUCCCAUUAUUGUCGAGUUUGAAGGCAUUAUAUGCAAUGGGGGAAAUCUUCAUAUUGUUUGAUUCUUCUGAA